RNAcentral lists this ribosomal RNA (448 nucleotides) under Salmonella enterica. RNAcentral describes it as "partial 23S ribosomal RNA". It matches the Rfam family "Bacterial large subunit ribosomal RNA", at positions 72 to 559 of the family's 2925-position model. RNAcentral also lists the same sequence under 1 other name. The record is from RNAcentral. Lineage: Bacteria; Pseudomonadati; Pseudomonadota; Gammaproteobacteria; Enterobacterales; Enterobacteriaceae.
UAAGCGCCGGUAAGGUGAUAUGAACCGUUAUAACCGGCGAUACCCGAAUGGGGAAACCCAGUGUGAUUCGUCACACUAUCAUUAACUGAAUCCAUAGGUUAAUGAGGCGAACCGGGGGAACUGAAACAUCUAAGUACCCCGAGGAAAAGAAAUCAACCGAGAUUCCCCCAGUAGCGGCGAGCGAACGGGGAGGAGCCCAGAGCCUGAAUCAGCAUGUGUGUUAGUGGAAGCGUCUGGAAAGGCGCGCGAUACAGGGUGACAGCCCCGUACACAAAAGCGCAUGUGCUGUGAGCUCGAUGAGUAGGGCGGGACACGUGGUAUCCUGUCUGAAUAUGGGGGGACCAUCCUCCAAGGCUAAAUACUCCUGACUGACCGAUAGUGAACCAGUACCGUGAGGGAAAGGCGAAAAGAACCCCGGCGAGGGGAGUGAAAAAGAACCUGAAACCGU